This 76-nucleotide transfer RNA is filed under the name Rickettsiales bacterium. RNAcentral describes it as "tRNA-Ala". It matches the Rfam family "tRNA". Rfam says of the family: Transfer RNA (tRNA) molecules are approximately 80 nucleotides in length. Their secondary structure includes four short double-helical elements and three loops (D, anti-codon, and T loops). Lineage: Bacteria; Pseudomonadati; Pseudomonadota; Alphaproteobacteria; Rickettsiales. The record is from RNAcentral.
GGGGUUAUAGCUCAGUUGGUAGAGCGCUUGCAUGGCAUGCAAGAGGUCACGGGUUCAACUCCCGUUAACUCCACCA